This 105-nucleotide small nuclear RNA is filed under the name Erinaceus europaeus (western European hedgehog). The record is from RNAcentral. Lineage: Eukaryota; Metazoa; Chordata; Mammalia; Eulipotyphla; Erinaceidae.
AUGCUAGAUUCACAUGCAUACCUAUGUAACAGUGGUAUAGCAGGGAGAUUAGCAUAGCCCCUGCACUAGUAUGACAUGCAAAUUCAUGAAGUGUUCCAUAUUUAU